This 676-nucleotide ribosomal RNA is filed under the name Inosperma quietiodor. RNAcentral describes it as "partial small subunit ribosomal RNA". It matches the Rfam family "Bacterial small subunit ribosomal RNA", at positions 359 to 942 of the family's 1533-position model. The record is from RNAcentral. Lineage: Eukaryota; Fungi; Basidiomycota; Agaricomycetes; Agaricales; Inocybaceae.
GAUAUUAGUCAAUGCUCGGAAGAGUGAACUAGCUAACUGAAAUCACAAAAUCACAAAUAGUGCUUAUUGUGAUAACGUAAGGGAAAAAAUUGAUAUUACCUUACUAUUAGUGUUGUCUAAAUAACUGGUGCCRGAAGACUCGGUAACACCAGAAACGCAAACGUUAGUCGUCUUAAACAGGCGUAAAGGGUAAGUAGGCUGCUUUAAAUGUCUAAAUUAAUAUAAGCUAAUUAAUAAUUUAAUACUAAUUUUUUCAAAUUAAAUAUAUAGAUUAUUUCGUUAUAAAUAACACACUAAAAAUUGAAAUUAUUGCUUGCUAUGCAAGCCAGAAAAUUAGAAUUAUUCUUUUCUAUUAAAAUAGACUCACUUAAAGCUAGAAUCAUAAUUGAGAUAAACCAAAUAAUACUUAAGUGUAAGGGCGAUAUCUGAAAAUACUAAGUARAAUACUAACGGUGAAAACUUUUUAUCUAGUAAUGAUUGACGCUGAGGUACGAAAGUGAGAACAGGGAAUAGGAUUAGAUACCCAGUUACCUCUCACCGUCAACGAUGAAUGGUAGUUGUUAAUUUAUWUAAAUUAGUGACGAUGUUAACGCGAUAACCAUUCCGCCUUGAGAGUACGGUUGCAAAACUGAAACCAAAAAAAUUAGUCGGUCUCGGAGCAAACGGAGUGAAGCAU